This is an RNA transcript of Salvia splendens (bonfire salvia), 1165 nucleotides long. RefSeq lists it as uncharacterized. Lineage: Eukaryota; Viridiplantae; Streptophyta; Magnoliopsida; Lamiales; Lamiaceae. The record is from RefSeq and is a predicted model, not a curated record. The transcript is spliced from 5 exons.
UAUUAAAAAAACCCCUUUUCAGGAAAAUGACCAAAUAGCUGUUGAAAAUAUUAAAGGGACUUUUCUCAGAUAGUAAUUCUCUGCCUUUAUCGCUGAUUAAACCCCAGAAGAAAUGGCACUCAAGCUCAAUGCUUCGGCUGUGUACUCACUGCAGAACCUUCAAUUACGUCAUACAAAUCACAACUGCUUAUGGAGUUUAAAGCCAAACAGAUUGUAUCAGAAUACUGCAAGAACUUCGUGCAGUAUGAAUAUGGCUGCCAACCAGCCAGGUGAUCCUAAGAAAAUGAGCAUCACUCAUAUUGUGGACAAAGCAAGAAGUUUGUGGGAUACUUCUCCUCAGCCGGUCAAGACCUUUCCUUGGAACAGAACAUUGAAUCAUUUCAUUCAACUCCUUCUCGACCUUGUCUUGGUAGUUAUCAGAAUCCUAGCCCUACCUGUAUUUUCCAUUACAUCAAUCAGCGAAAUAUCUUAUUGUGCGCAUGAAAGGGAGCUAUACCUUGUCCCACUUCCGUUUCUAGUUGGUGUCGCUGCAGCUGGGGUGUUACAAAAUGCUGCUUUGGAAUCGUCUUCGUAUCUCAAGUAUGCAGAAGUACCGUGGCAUCUUAUUGCUCUUCUGAUAUUCUUUGCACUGCUCAAGUUUCCUGGCCCUUAUUACCCAUAUUGGGGCCGUAUACUCAUUCCUCACAUGGCAAACGGAGCAAUUUUGAGGACAUUGUGGUUCUUGUUUCUGUGGUUCCGGAAGCCCCAAAAGGCAGCAGAAAAUAACCACGCCAACUCUGUAGUCGACAAUCCUGAAGCAGACAAGGUCUUGUAGCAUCGUAAAACAGGUGUAGAUGCAGUCCUUCGGCCUUCUGCACAAAUAUUUGGAAGAGGUCCAGAUGGCAAUUGUUGAGGUGCACUGUGUUUUGCACUAGCUGGUGGUAUGUUGCUUUGCAAACAUAUGGAUAUUACAAAAUCAGCAUCAGGAGAUGGACCUAAAAAGCAGCAUGAGAAAUUGGUCUGUGACGUAGAUUCAUUUACACAGAAUUCUGUUAGUUCAGUAUUUAGUUAUAGUCCAGCUUCUAGAUUGAAGUUUGGCAAGUUACAAGCACAAUUCGGCUAUAAAAGCUCGUUUAAUUAAAAUACAGAAUUUUUUAUUUGAUACAACUCAUUUGUUUUACUUUAA